GAAUCGCGAUAGGAAUUGCGAAUUGCAGAAUUCAGUGAAUCAUCGUAACUUUGAACGCAAACUGCGCUUCGGGGUUGACUCGGAGCAUGCCUCUUUGAGUGUCGGUCAAAACCUCUCCUGGGUUUCCAGUGAGGACGUGGGAGUCGCUAGUCUCCUGAAGAACGCGUGGUGGCGGGAAACCGUCUCCGUGCUGCGAACCCGUCCAGGACGGUCGAAUGGAGCUGAUUAGUUGCAUGCGACUCUGGUGGGCUAGUGGCGCGGUGUGCCCUCUGGUGUAAUAGCAUUCCGCUUGGUUUCGCUACGUGCACACAUUCUUGACCAUCGACCUCAAAUGAGGUAAGAUUACCCGCUGAACUUAA
This 359-nucleotide unclassified non-coding RNA is filed under the name uncultured fungus. RNAcentral describes it as "sequence contains ITS1". The stretch from base 1 to 104 matches the Rfam family "5.8S ribosomal RNA", at positions 50 to 154 of the family's 154-position model. The record is from RNAcentral. Lineage: Eukaryota; Fungi.